CACGGAGAACAGAACCUGGGUGGAAGGGGUUCCUCCGGGCCGCAGGCCUGCCGCGCACUGCACGGGGAAGGGCCUGCUGCCUCAGGACACAGGCGAGGGGGCCGUGCCGAUGGACUGGAGUCCACACCUUGGCUAGGGUCACUACGAAAUUCGCCAGCAUCCCAUUCCUCACACCCAAAGCAAAUCGACCUCUCCGCGGAAUUUGGCAAAGUCACAUCUGCUGGGUGUCCGCGACCUGCCUUGCGAAGAGCCUGCCGAGCAGACGGCGAUGUCUCCCCUAGACCCCACCCUGUGCGCCCACGCGACAGUCCCUUUCCCGGGAUCAUUUCGGGGACCGAGACGUGCGGGUCCCACGGCUUCCUUCCUCCGCCUGGGUCCUCAGAGCCCAGACGCCCCUUGUGGGCCCUGGGAGGGCCGUGCCAACGACCGGCCGCCCGCACUCGCCGGCGCAAAAGCCCUGACUCUCGGAUCCCGAGGCCUGCGUUCAACUGUCCACGCUUCCUCGCGAGUGUUUCCACCCUCCGCAAACACAAAUUCACUUAUUUAUGUCUUUUUAAUGCAGUAAAUGGGCAGCUAAAUGAAUUGCAAUUUGUAAUUUUUAUGGUUAAUUUGAAAUCUCGCUCUUGUUGGCUAAUCCUGUUAGUUGGUGGGAACACAAGGAGAACGUCGUGUUGCAGCACCAGUCACUCUAAUAGGCAUUUUAUGUUAAAUUACAACGACCGGCCAGAACAAAAGGACGAGUCGGACUUCCAGGCCCAGCGGCCCGGGAGAGGCAGCGCGACCAGCGUGAGGCCGGAACGCCACGACCCCAAGUCUGCCGGCUCCGCGCGCCCCCAGCCACGCCCGCCCGUCCCAGCAACCCAAUUCUGCACCCCGAUCUUGUUUGCGAGUGCCCUGGGUGCCCUCAAUCCGCGCUCUGCCGCGCCCCAGCCACUCGGGCCCCGGAAGCGUGUGCUUGCCCUGGGCGCGGGGCUUCGGGGUCUCCGAGGCCAAACGGCAGCGGCGACCAACGCCGACCCCUUUCUCCCUGCUCCCGCCUCUCCUUUUGCUUUCUUUUCUCCCUAUCGGCCUCUCCGCGGGCUACCCCGCGGAAAGCCAGGUCGGGUGCGAGGCGCCCCUUGUUCCCCCUCCGCCCCAGCCUCCUGUUCCCCAGGGUGCAGAGGCCCGCAGAGCCAGGCCGAGAGGGUUUGA
This 1191-nucleotide long non-coding RNA is filed under the name Oryctolagus cuniculus (rabbit). Its description in RNAcentral is "lncRNA (ENSOCUG00000034248.1)". The record is from RNAcentral. Lineage: Eukaryota; Metazoa; Chordata; Mammalia; Lagomorpha; Leporidae.